CAGAGAUCAUGCCCUCACGGGUAGACCUCCCACCCUGUUUAUAUACUAUUGUUGCUUUGGCAGGCCGCCUUUUAGGCUCCCGGCUCCGGCUGGGGAGUGUCUGCCAGAGGACCCCAACUCUUUUGUUUAAAUGUCGUCUGAGUACUAUAUAAUAAGUUA
This 159-nucleotide unclassified non-coding RNA is filed under the name uncultured Helotiales. RNAcentral's name for it is "sequence contains ITS1". The record is from RNAcentral. Lineage: Eukaryota; Fungi; Ascomycota; Leotiomycetes; Helotiales.